RNAcentral lists this ribosomal RNA (348 nucleotides) under Triticum aestivum (bread wheat). Its description in RNAcentral is "partial small subunit ribosomal RNA". Lineage: Eukaryota; Viridiplantae; Streptophyta; Magnoliopsida; Poales; Poaceae. The record is from RNAcentral.
AUGGACAAGAGUUGGAUGGAUAAAGCUAGAAACACACAAGCAUAUAUUGACGGGGAUAUCGGCAUGAAGAUGGACAUGAAGGUGGAUGUGGACAUGAAGGGGAAUAUGGUGGUGGAUAUGAAGCAUGUGUGGAAGUGGACAAGCCCAUGGCGAAAGCAGGAAUGCAACCACAAGCAAGCUGAGGAGGUAAUAUCCAUGUUUCCAAGAAUUUUUCAUGCCCUCAACUCUGUAAAUAUUUCCUAUAGUACAGUACUGAAGUUUACAAAAUGUUGUUCCUGGUUGCGUACCUUUUACAAAAUAUUUCAUAUAGGAAAUAGUACAGUACUGAUGUUUUUCAGUACUAUAUAA